CCUACGGGGGGCUGCAGUGAGGAAUAUUGGUCAAUGGACGAGAGUCUGAACCAGCCAAGUAGCGUGAAGGAUGACUGCCCUAUGGGUUGUAAACUUCUUUUAUAAAGGAAUAAAACGAGGCACGUGUGCCUUUUUGCAUGUACUUUAUGAAUAAGGAUCGGCUAACUCCGUGCCAGCAGCCGCGGUAAUACGGAGGAUCCGAGCGUUAUCCGGAUUUAUUGGGUUUAAAGGGAGCGUAGAUGGGUUGUUAAGUCAGUUGUGAAAGUUUGCGGCUCAACCGUAAAAUUGCAAUUUAUACUGGCAGUCGUGAGUACAGUUGAGGUAGGCGGAAUUCGUGGUGUAGCGGUGAAAUGCUUAGAUAUCACGAAGAACCCCGAUUGCGAAGGCAGCUUACUAAACUGUGACUGACAUUGAUGCUCGAAAGUGUGGGUAUCAAACAGGAUUAGAUACCCCUGUAGUC
RNAcentral lists this ribosomal RNA (460 nucleotides) under uncultured bacterium. Its description in RNAcentral is "partial 16S ribosomal RNA". It matches the Rfam family "Bacterial small subunit ribosomal RNA", at positions 338 to 795 of the family's 1533-position model. The record is from RNAcentral.